Molecule: ribosomal RNA, 1950 nt
Filed under: Triticum aestivum (bread wheat)
Lineage: Eukaryota; Viridiplantae; Streptophyta; Magnoliopsida; Poales; Poaceae
Description: partial small subunit ribosomal RNA
Source: RNAcentral
AUGAUGAUGAAGCGGUCGCUCGAGUUGGAGGAGGCACGGCCAGUUUAUCUCUCCCCAGAAAAACGCCAGCGACUCGCCCUCGAGUCGCUCCCCCGCGCCGCUCCGCCGCUUCCCACGCCCAAGCCUGCUCGCGAAUCCUCCUCCUCCUCCCACCGCGACUCGUUCCGUCACCGCGACCGUGAAGAGAAGCGCGGCUCGUUCCGUCACCGCGACCGCGAAGAGAAAGAUGUGCUGGAGAAAACGGCGGAGAAGUUGCGGGAGACGAUCAGGGAGCAGUACCUAGGGUCCAACAAGACCAAGACCAGGACGGUCUCCAUGAAACCCUCGGCCAAGUUCCGCUUCUCGUUCGACUGGGAGAACACGGACGACACCAGCUGCGACACGAACGCGCUCCAUCAGUCGCCGCUGCUGCUCUACGGCCGAGGCUUUCUCGCUGGUAUCGACCGCCGCGAGCAGAAGAAAGCGGCAGCCCAGAAGGAGAACCGCGUCGAGCUGCGGCGCGACACCAGCCCCGAAGAAAGCACGAAGAAGAAGGCGGAGAUGCGCGACUCCUUUGGCAUGCGCGUGGACAGGCACUGGACCGACAAGGCGGCCGAGGAGAUGACCGAGCGGGACUGGCGCAUUUUCCGCGAGGACUUCAACAUCUCCUACAAGGGCUCCCGCCUGCCCCGGCCGAUGCGGGACUGGAAAGAGAGCAAGCUUGGAGCCAGGCUGCUUCGUGCCAUCGACAAGGUUGGCUACAAGAAACCGUCUCCGAUUCAGAUGGCCACCAUCCCACUCGGUCUGCAGCAGCGCGAUGUUAUCGGUGUCGCCGAGACAGGCUCGGGGAAGACCGCCGCGUUCGUGCUCCCCAUGCUAUCCUACAUUAGCCGCCUGCCACCCAUUACGGACGCCGAAGCCGCCGAAGGUCCCUAUGCUCUUGUGAUGGCACCAACUCGCGAGCUCGCUCAGCAGAUCGAGAGAGAGACCACCAAGCUUUCGACUUACCUAGGAAUUAAGGUCGUGUCCAUCGUCGGCGGCCAAUCCAUUGAGGAGCAGGGAUUCGAGGUUAGGCAGGGCUGUGAGGUUGUGAUUGCCACGCCUGGCCGGCUCCUUGACUGCCUGGAGAGAAGAUACAUUGUGCUCAACCAGUGCAACUAUGUCGUGCUUGACGAGGCUGACAGGAUGAUCGACAUGGGCUUUGAGCCACAGGUCGCCGGCGUCCUUGAUGCGAUGCCAUCUAGCAACCUGAAGCCUCAGAACGCGGAAGAGGAGCUGGACGAGAAGAAGAUCUACAGGACUACCUACAUGUUCAGUGCCACCAUGCCACCUGCUGUGGAGCGCCUUGCAAAGAAGUACCUCCGGAACCCCGUCGUCGUUACCAUAGGCACGGCUGGCAGCGCCACGGGCCUCGUAACUCAGAGCGUGAUCAUGGUGAAGGAGUCGGACAAGAUGCCACGGCUCCGGAAGAUCAUGGCGGAUCUUGGGGGGGACAAGACAGCCGUCGUCUUCUGCAAUACAAAGAGGUCGGUGGACGACCGUGCCAAAGAUCUAGAGAGGCUGGGAUUCCGCGUCACAACGCUGCAUGGUGGCAAGUCACAAGAUCAGAGGGAGAUCAGCCUCGAUGGGUUUAGGAACCGUCGGUUCAACGUGCUCGUGGCCACCGACGUCGCGGGGCGUGGCAUCGACAUCCCUGAUGUUGCCCAUGUGAUCAACUAUGAGAUGCCCAGUUCGGUUGACACAUACACGCAUUGUAUUGGAAGAACAGGGCGCGCGGGGAAGAAGGGGCUCGCGACUUCAUUUUUGACUCUAGAGGACAGAGACAUCUUCUUUGAUCUCAAGCAAAUGCUUGUACAGAGCAAUAGUUCUGUGCCACCUGAACUCGCAAGGCACGAUGCCUCGAAAUUUAAGCCUGGCUCAAUUUCUGAUAGACCUCCAAAGCGAUGUGACACCAAGUAUGCAUCUCACUGA